CCAGAUGAAGAUACAUUUUAAAUUGACUGCCACAUGAAGUGGGAGAGUUAAUAUUGCUCUGAGAUAAAACAAUAAAGUAUUGAUAGAACCCAGCGCACUCUAAAAGCCUGAGGACCAUUGAGCACAAAUGUGAGCUAGGUAGCUUGCAGCAACUAAAGAGAAUCCACAAUGCUACAGACACCAGAGGAUGCAAAAUAUUAUAAGCUGCAUUAAAUAAAGAAACCAGCAAAUUCCUGUAAUUAGGAAAUUACCCACACAAGUCCAGAGAAGAUAUAUCUACAGAAAAGGAUGACAGAACAGAAGUGAAAUAACUCCAGGAUCAUGAUGCUGAUCUGUGGUAGAACCAGUGUGAGCCCAGGCCAUCUGCUUUCAGACACCACACUCUUGAUCACUACCCAUCCAGUCAAGGCACUCAACUGUAAUUGUCCAACCUUAAUUGUACUCCAUGUUUUGUUCACCUCAAAAGAGAAAGACCUUCUCUGGGAUUGAGUUUUCACUCAUAGGUGAGAACAAGCAAGAUUCUAGCCUAGUUCCCAACCUGAGUCAGUUUGAAGCAAAGUACUGGAUAAUAAUAUAUGCC
RNAcentral lists this long non-coding RNA (580 nucleotides) under Papio anubis (olive baboon). RNAcentral's name for it is "lncRNA (ENSPANG00000042347.1)". The record is from RNAcentral. Lineage: Eukaryota; Metazoa; Chordata; Mammalia; Primates; Cercopithecidae.